GUAGUUCAGUGGUAGAGCGCUUGCCUCGAAAGCAUGAGACUCUGGAUUCAAUCCUCAGC
This 59-nucleotide transfer RNA is filed under the name Ictidomys tridecemlineatus (thirteen-lined ground squirrel). Its description in RNAcentral is "Spermophilus tridecemlineatus (thirteen-lined ground squirrel) tRNA". It matches the Rfam family "tRNA", at positions 7 to 64 of the family's 71-position model. Rfam says of the family: Transfer RNA (tRNA) molecules are approximately 80 nucleotides in length. Their secondary structure includes four short double-helical elements and three loops (D, anti-codon, and T loops). Lineage: Eukaryota; Metazoa; Chordata; Mammalia; Rodentia; Sciuridae. The record is from Rfam by way of RNAcentral.